GUCAGGAAGGGAUCCUGUUUCAGAGAGGUGUGUGUUCCUCUGCUGUCAGGAAGGGAUCUUGUUUCAGAGAGGUGUGUGUUCCUGUACUGUCAGGAAGGGAUCCUGUUUCAGAGAGGUGUGAAUUCCUGUACUGUCAGGAAGGGAUCUUGUUUCAGAGAGGUGCGUGUUCCUCUGCUGUCAAGAAGGGAUCCUGUUUCAGGGAGGUGUGCAUUCCUGUACUGUCAGGAGGGAUCUUGUUUCAGAGAGGUGUGCAUUCCUGUACUGUCAGGAAGGGAUCUUGUUUCAGAGAAGUGUGCAUUCCUGUACUGUCAGAAGGGAUCCUGUUUCAGAGAGGUGUGAGUUCCUGUACUGUCAGGAAGGGAUCUUGUUUCAGAGAGGUGUGAGUUCCUGUACAGUCAGGAAGGGAUCCUGUUUCAGAGAGGUGUGAGUUCCUGUACUGUCAGGAAGGGAUCCUGUUUCAGAGAGGUGUGAGUUCCUGUACUGUCAGGAAGGGAUCUUGUUUCAGAGAGGUGUGAGUUCCUGUACUGUCAGGAAGGGAUCCUGUUUCAGAGAGGUGUGAGUUCCUGUACUGUCAGGAAGAGAUCUUGUUUCAGAGGGGUGUGAGUUCCUGUACAGUCAGGAAGGGAUCCUGUUUCAGAGAGGUGUGAGUUCCUGUACAGUCAGGAAGGGAUCCUGUUUCAGAGAGGUGUGAGUUCCUGUACUGUCAGGAAGGGAUCCUGUUUCAGAGAGGUGUGAGGUCCUGUACAGUCAGGAAGGGAUCCUGUUUCAGAGAGGUGUGAGUUCCUGUACAGUCAGGAAGGGAUCCUGUUUCAGAGAGGUGUGAGUUCCUGUACAGUCAGGAAGGGAUCCUGUUUCAGAGAGGUGUGAGUUCCUGUACUGUCAGGAAGGGAUCCUGUUUCAGAGAGGUGUGAGUUCCUGUACAGUCAGGAAGGGAUCCUGUUUCAGAGGGGUGUGAGUUCCUGUACAGUCAGGAAGGGGAUCCUGUUUCAGAGGGGUGUGUGUUCCUCUGCUGUCAGGAAGGGAUCUUGUUUCAGAGAGGUGUGCAUUCCUGUACUGUCAGGAAGGGAUCUUGUUUCAGAGAGGUGUGUGUUCCUGUACUGUCAGGAAGGGAAUAUGGGCAAGAUUUCCUUGCUAGCUUUCUGCCGAAGACCUUGCUCUUUUCUUGUUUUCUUGAGGGACAAAAAAUAUGGGCUUUCACUUUCAGAGGUCUCUGCUUCCCUUCCCACAUGACAGGGUUUGGAUCGGUGUCCUGACCCGAAUCCCAUGUCAAAUUGUAAUCCCCAGUGUUGGAAGUCGUGCCUGGUGGAAGGUGAUUGGAUCAUGCGGUCAGUUUCUCCUGAAUGGUUUAGCACCAUUCCCUUCGUGCUAUUCUCCUUCGUGCUGUUUUCGUGAACAUGAGUGAUUUCUUGUGAGAGCUGGUUGUUUAAAAAUGUAUAGCACGGCCAGGUGCCGUGGCUCAUGCCUGUAAUCCCAGCACUUUGGAAGACCGAGGUGGGCAGAUCACUUGAGGUCAGGAGUUCAAGACCAGCCUGGCCAACAUGUUGAAACCCUGUUUCUACUAAAUAUACAAAAAUUAGCUGAGCGUGGUGGCACACGUCUGUAAUCCCAGCUACUUGGGAGGCUGAGGCAGGAGAAUUGCUUGAACCUGGGAGGUGGAGGUUGCAGUGAGCCGAGAUGGCAUCACUGCACUCAGCCUGGGUGACAGAGCGAGACUCUGUCUCAAAAAAAAAAAAAAAAAAAAAAAAAAAAAAAAAAA
RNAcentral lists this long non-coding RNA (1756 nucleotides) under Macaca mulatta (Rhesus monkey). RNAcentral describes it as "lncRNA (ENSMMUG00000050785.1)". The record is from RNAcentral. Lineage: Eukaryota; Metazoa; Chordata; Mammalia; Primates; Cercopithecidae.